GAAAGUAAUUCUCUUUUCUUUUUCAUAAUUAAAGAAGAAAACAAUACAAGAGAAUUCUGAAUUCUCUCUCUAUGUAUUUGAGACUUUGACAGAUGAAGUCUUCUUCUCCUUCUCCAUCUCCUUCUUCUCUUUUUCUAUAUAGCAAAAAGAACAGAUGCCUCAGCAUGGGGAGGCUGGUUCCUUUCUUCUUGUCUUCUCUGGGUUUAACAACUAUUUUCUGCUUGUUCAUUCUUUAUUCGCCAAACCCUUUUAGGUCAAUUCUUAAACAUAAUGACCCAAAUCAAAAGCUCCUCGUGAUCAAGCCAGAAAAGGAGAAGGAGAAUUGCGACUUGUAUAAGGGUGAGUGGAUACCAGACCUUGAAGGGUCUAAAUAUACAAAUUCAAGCUGUGCAACAAUUCCCAAUUCAAAGAACUGUUUCAGGAAUGGAAGGAAAGAUACAGAUUUCCUUAAUUGGAGAUGGAAACCAGAGAAAUGUGAUGUUCCAAGGAUUGAUCCCAAGGCCUUCUUGGAAAUUGUUCGAGGAAAAACACUGGCAUUCAUCGGUGACUCAGUUGCCAGGAACCACAUGGAA
RNAcentral lists this unclassified non-coding RNA (572 nucleotides) under Hevea brasiliensis (rubber tree). Lineage: Eukaryota; Viridiplantae; Streptophyta; Magnoliopsida; Malpighiales; Euphorbiaceae. The record is from RNAcentral.